RNAcentral lists this ribosomal RNA (484 nucleotides) under uncultured bacterium. Its description in RNAcentral is "partial 16S ribosomal RNA". It matches the Rfam family "Bacterial small subunit ribosomal RNA", at positions 30 to 507 of the family's 1533-position model. The record is from RNAcentral.
AUUGAACGCCGGCGGCAGGCCUAACACAUGCAAGUCGAGCGGAUGAAGGGAGCUUGCUCCUGGAUUCAGCGGCGGACGGGUGAGUAAUGCCUAGGAAUCUGCCUGGUAGUGGGGGAUAACGUCCGGAAACGGGCGCUAAUACCGCAUACGUCCUGAGGGAGAAAGUGGGGGAUCUUCGGACCUCACGCUAUCAGAUGAGCCUAGGUCGGAUUAGCUAGUUGGUGGGGUAAAGGCCUACCAAGGCGACGAUCCGUAACUGGUCUGAGAGGAUGAUCAGUCACACUGGAACUGAGACACGGUCCAGACUCCUACGGGAGGCAGCAGUGGGGAAUAUUGGACAAUGGGCGAAAGCCUGAUCCAGCCAUGCCGCGUGUGUGAAGAAGGUCUUCGGAUUGUAAAGCACUUUAAGUUGGGAGGAAGGGCAGUAAGUUAAUACCUUGCUGUUUUGACGUUACCCACAGAAUAAGCACCGGCUAACUUCGUG